RNAcentral lists this ribosomal RNA (454 nucleotides) under uncultured Acidovorax sp. Its description in RNAcentral is "bacterial SSU rRNA". It matches the Rfam family "Bacterial small subunit ribosomal RNA", at positions 927 to 1382 of the family's 1533-position model. Lineage: Bacteria; Pseudomonadati; Pseudomonadota; Betaproteobacteria; Burkholderiales; Comamonadaceae. The record is from RNAcentral.
AAGCGGUGGAUGAUGUGGUUUAAUUCGAUGCAACGCGAAAACCUUACCCACCUUUGACAUGUACGGAAUCCUUUAGAGAUAGAGGAGUGCUCGAAAGAGAACCGUAACACAGGUGCUGCAUGGCUGUCGUCAGCUCGUGUCGUGAGAUGUUGGGUUAAGUCCCGCAACGAGCGCAACCCUUGUCAUUAGUUGCUACAUUCAGUUGGGCACUCUAAUGAGACUGCCGGUGACAAACCGGAGGAAGGUGGGGAUGACGUCAAGUCCUCAUGGCCCUUAUAGGUGGGGCUACACACGUCAUACAAUGGAUGGUACAAAGGGUCGCCAACCCGCGAGGGGGAGCCAAUCCCAUAAAGCCAUUCGUAGUCCGGAUCGCAGUCUGCAACUCGACUGCGUGAAGUCGGAAUCGCUAGUAAUCGUGGAUCAGAAUGUCACGGUGAAUACGUUCCCGGGUCUU